RNAcentral lists this long non-coding RNA (1325 nucleotides) under Homo sapiens (human). Its description in RNAcentral is "HSALNT0147090". Lineage: Eukaryota; Metazoa; Chordata; Mammalia; Primates; Hominidae. The record is from RNAcentral.
CGUGUGGCUGCCAGCUCACCAAAAGAGAUCACAUAGUUUGGCCCGGCAAAGGACCAGACCACAGCCAGGGACUGCAGGGGUAGUGAGGAGGGCAUGCGGCUGAAACAUACCAGCUCCAGCUCUGCAGAGCCCAGCAGCGGGAUCUGGGAGACGCUGCCGGACAAAGAGUGUUCAUUACCUUCCAGCCAAACCGCUCUGUGCUCCUCGGAGCCAGCCUUCUUCUGAGCAAGGCCCUUAACACCCCUUCUUGUUGAGCUGCCUCUGCUCUCCCUGGAUCCUCUUGGCUUAGCACCUCUCCAGCCCCUCCCAACUGGACCUCUCCUGGGACAGCAUGUGCUCUGCAUGGAAUAACAAGGUUAAAUGGACAAGGCUGAAUGGCCCUGUGAUGGGGAGUGCCUUUAAGCCACAUGACGGAAAUGAAACAGGAGCCAUAAUGACCAUGACUGGAGGAGAAUCAGAUUCUGGCCUGGCCUGGUUCUGUGAGAUACCUUAAAUCAUACUUUCUGUAGCAUCCCUUAAAGAUAUCACCUCCAUAGGAAGCUGUCUCUCUGCUUUAGAGCAAGAAUCAACAAACUUUUUCUGUAAAGAGCCAGAUAGUGAGUAUUUUAAGCCUUGAGACUCACACAGUCUCUGUUGCAACCCCUCAACUCUGCCAUUGUAAAGCUAUAGCAGCUACAUACAAUCCAUACAUAAACGGGCAUGGCUGUGUUCCAAUAAAACUUUAUUUAUGCACAAAGGCAGCAGGCUUGAUUUGGGCAUGGCCUGUAGAUUAUUGACCCUUGCUUUAGAGUUACACUUUAUACAUUUAUCGCUGAGGCAAAAGUUAAGUCUCUAGAUGUGAAAAUCCGUGGCUUCCAAGUGAGAGCAGUAUAUGGAUGUAGUUAGUUAGACUGGACACAAGGUUGGUGAUACAGGUGAAUCUGCCUAAUGUAGCAUAUGAUACUGCUUAGAGUUAUUUUAUUUUUAAUUAAUUAAUUUAUUUAUUUUUGAGACAGUGUCUCACUCUGUCACCCAGGCUGGAGUGCAGUAGCGCAAUGAUAGCUCACUGCAGCCUUGACCUCCCUGGCUCAAGUGAUCCUUCCACCUCAGUCUCCCGAAUAUCUAGGACUACAGGUGCACACCACCACACCCAGCUAAUGUAUUUUUGUGUGUGAAUACAGGGUUUUGCCAUGUUGUCCAGGCUAAUCUCAAACUCCUGGGCUUAAGCGAUCCACCCACCUCCACCUCCCAAAGGGCUGGGAUUACAGGUGUGAGCCACAUAGCCCAACCUAGAGUUAUUUUAGAUUCUCGUCAUCCCAGUUAACUGAAAGAACUGCCUGCUAAAG